This 253-nucleotide ribosomal RNA is filed under the name uncultured bacterium. RNAcentral's name for it is "partial 16S ribosomal RNA". It matches the Rfam family "Bacterial small subunit ribosomal RNA", at positions 524 to 776 of the family's 1533-position model. The record is from RNAcentral.
UACAGAGGUGGCUAGCGUUGUUCGGAUUUAUUGGGCGUAAAGGGUCCGUAGGCGGUCCGGAAAGUUGGGUGUGAAAUCCUACAGCUUAACUGUAGAACUGCACUCAAAACUCCCGGACUAGAGUGUGGGAGAGGUAAGGGGAAUUCCCGGUGUAAGGGUGAAAUCUGCAGAGAUCGGGAGGAACACCAGCGGCGAAGGCGCCUUACUGGCCCACCACUGACGCUGAGGGACGAAAGCUAGGGGAGCAAACGGG